UGCAUACCACGUGUGACUGUGUUGA
RNAcentral lists this non-coding RNA (25 nucleotides) under Mus musculus (house mouse). Lineage: Eukaryota; Metazoa; Chordata; Mammalia; Rodentia; Muridae. RNAcentral also lists the same sequence under 1 other name. The record is from RNAcentral.